Molecule: ribosomal RNA, 297 nt
Filed under: Triatoma infestans
Lineage: Eukaryota; Metazoa; Arthropoda; Insecta; Hemiptera; Reduviidae
Description: partial 28S ribosomal RNA
Source: RNAcentral
GUGGGUUUGGUCGCUCGCAUUUAAAUUGGAAGGGUAAUGGUGGACCGCACUUCUCCCUUAGUAGGACGUUGCGACCUGUCAAAUAAUAUCCUAAGUAUUUGGCUAAUUUGUCUGUUUUUAGGCAGUACUGAAAGGUAUUUCCUUUAACAGUUUUAGCCGUUUAGAUACUGGAUAUAAUUGACAGUAACGAAUCAUGGUGUUGAGCCACUUACUUUGUAAGUGUCCUUCAUGGCUGUUUGCAAGUGGGUUGGUUAAUUAGUUUUAGUCGGAUUUCGGUCCGUCUAACUAUUCCGCCUA